Molecule: ribosomal RNA, 456 nt
Filed under: uncultured bacterium
Lineage: Bacteria
Description: bacterial SSU rRNA
Rfam family: Bacterial small subunit ribosomal RNA
Source: RNAcentral
GGUGAACGCUGGCGGGCGUGCCUAACACAUGCAAGUCGAGCGGUGCAGUUUGAAGCUUCGGUGGAAAGCUGCAUAGCGGCGGACGGGUGAGGAAAACGUAGGAACGUGCCCCUUGGAGUUGGAUAGCCACGGGAAACUGUGGGUAAACCGACAUAGACUCGAGAGAGUAAAGGCCGAAAGGCGCCAAGGGAGCGGCCUGCGGCCCAUCAGGUAGUUGGUAGUGUAAAGGACUACCAAGCCGACGACGGGUAGCCGGUCUGAGAGGAUGGCCGGCCACAAGGGCACUGAGAGACGGGCCCUACUCCUACGGGAGGCAGCAGUGGGGGAUUUUGGACAAUGGGCGAAAGCCUGAUCCAGCGACGCCGCGUGGAGGACGAAGCCCUUCGGGGUGUAAACUCCUUUUCUCAGGGAAAAAGGAUGAUGGUACCUGAGGAAUAAGCCCCGGCUAACUACGUG